UACGGAGGGUGCAAGCGUUAUCCGGAUUCACUGGGUUUAAAGGGUGCGUAGGUGGGUUGGUAAGUCAGUGGUGAAAUCUCCGAGCUUAACUUGGAAACUGCCAUUGAUACUAUCAGUCUUGAAUACCGUGGAGGUCAGCGGAAUAUGUCAUGUAGCGGUGAAAUGCUUAGAUAUGACAUAGAACACCAAUUGCGAAGGCAGCUGACUACGCGAAUAGUGACACUGAUGCACGAAAGCGUGGGGAUCAAACAGG
RNAcentral lists this ribosomal RNA (253 nucleotides) under uncultured bacterium. RNAcentral's name for it is "partial 16S ribosomal RNA". It matches the Rfam family "Bacterial small subunit ribosomal RNA", at positions 524 to 776 of the family's 1533-position model. The record is from RNAcentral.